RNAcentral lists this long non-coding RNA (746 nucleotides) under Felis catus (domestic cat). RNAcentral's name for it is "lncRNA (ENSFCAG00000051286.1)". Lineage: Eukaryota; Metazoa; Chordata; Mammalia; Carnivora; Felidae. The record is from RNAcentral.
GGUCAUGAUCUCACUGUUCGUGGGUUCCAGCCCCGUGUCAGGCUCUGUGCUGAUAGCUCGGAGACUGGAUCCUGCUUCGGAUUCUGUGUCUCCCUCUCUCUGCCCCUCCCCUGCUUGUUUCUCUCUGUCUCUGUCUCUCUCUCAAAAAUAAAGAAACAUAAAAAAAUUUUAAAAAAUUGCGGUUUGGGGGUAAAGCAAUCCUUCAGAAAGUUUCUAAGAACCUAUGAACUGAGGAGAUGAACUGUCUACAUCGCAUCUUUUAGGUCCGGGAGUAUUACUUGGAGCUUUUUGUUUUCAUCUUUUUAGGACAUCUCGUUAGGAUUCUGACUGUUUCCUGCACAGAACUCAGGCGAACACAAAGCAGGAUGUAUUGGCAAGAUUCAAAUACUAGCAAGCAUCAAGGGGUCUGAGGUGAAACACGGGUCUGGACUUCCCCGAUGCCCAGCCAGCCCAACUUCAGCCUGGUCAUCAGGAAGGGGAAACUGAUCGCGUUCAGCAGAGCCUUGGCCUGUUUUGGAGGCAAAAUUCACCAUGAUUCAGUGCACUGGGCCUCCUGCGAGUGUUUUCCGUGUAACCAAUGGGAAGUGGGAGAGGUGGCCCUCAUCCUGAAAGAGCUGGACAGCGACACAGACAGAGAACUGAUUUUCUGGGCUCCACACAUCAGCUUGGAGCGGAGAGAUGCUUGCUGCUCCAAGAGGCUCCACGGUGCCUGGGAGCCCUGUCCUUGUCACGUGGUUGUGUCUUAG